RNAcentral lists this long non-coding RNA (1406 nucleotides) under Chlamydomonas reinhardtii. RNAcentral's name for it is "long non-coding RNA (CREI_LNC001112)". Lineage: Eukaryota; Viridiplantae; Chlorophyta; Chlorophyceae; Chlamydomonadales; Chlamydomonadaceae. The record is from RNAcentral.
GGCUGCUCCCGGUCCGCCUGUGGCCGGGUACCCUGAAAACGCCAUGGCCCAGCCGUGGAACUCCACGAGUAUGCGCACCUUACGAUUCCAGCAGACGCCACGGUACUUGCUGCUAACCGGUUUAUCGCUUGCGGGCUUCCCAUCGUCAUCGUGGCCAUCCACGUAGUCCUCAUCCUGAACGGCGCAUGAGGGGCUUACAUAUAAGACGCUGCAUGCGUCUACAGCCAUGUCCAUAUGCAGCAAGAGCCACACCCACAGUUGCGCCGAAGUUGGAAGCAAAUUCUCGCCACUUUUCUUUGGUCUGAACUUCUCUAGAACGCCCCCAAGCCGCACGCAGAACGCACCUGAGCUGCGCGUCCGCGCAUGGUGCUUGCACCGGCUACAGCCUGCGAGUUUAGCGUGCCAGCUUAGCGUAUGUCAUUUGCUCACACGAGGUGACCAGCCCGUCUCGUAACGCAGCUGGGUUAUGCAACGCAGGAGCAGGACUGCUGUUGCCUGAGAUACUGGCAAGCUGCUGUCGGCAAUCAGAGUGAGGCGCGCGCGGCUUUACCUUGAGAGGUGAAUUGCUCGCCUGGCAGGCCCGUUGCCGCCUCGCCUCACACCUGCCUCCUCUAGCGUUUACUACUGCUCAGGUCAAUUCACACAAUCGUCUGGUGGUGGUUGAACCGGUGGCUGUGUGACUGUGUGAGGCGGACAAGAUUUACGCGAAAGUCGCCUGUGCCGGGUAAGGCUAAGACCACAGUGUAAGUAGUAGACGGAGUAGGUUGGAUACAAAUGUAUAUUGAGGAAGUGAUUGAGCUGGCGUUUGCGGAAGUUGCCUGUCGAAAUGAGGCAAUAAGGCAAUGAAGGUAAGGUAGUGGUAGACGAGCACAUCGAGCAGUGCGUAUGUAUCAUUUUCUACAUUUCCAAAUAUGCACUUCGGUGCACUCCGGCGCAUGCCUUGUGAGUUGGCAAACUUGGAAGCCGAAACCUGCUGCCGGUGAUCGAUGUAACGCAAUUCUUGAGUCUUUGUUACAUACAUUCAACGAGGCACUCUCACUCACUCUCUUUUGCUCACUCUCGCUCGACCGUGCAUGUGUUACACCAAAAUGUGCGUGAAAGGUCGCCUCGGGAGCUGCGGGGCACUUACAAUCGCUGUACCAGGUGGCACUAGCCCAAAUGCAUGUUACGGAAGCAUAGGAAGCGCGGGGAUGCGUUCUGGCUUCGCUGCCACUGCUCUUCCGUCACCCAGGUUCUGAGUUAGACAGCGUUCCCCGCGCCUCCCAUGAUCACCCCUGCCCACGAUAGCCUGCCCAGCCAUGCACACACGGCGUGCCAACCACCCCCAUCCCUUCCCACCUUUCCGAGCCCCCGGGGCAACGCAAAUCUUGAGUUUUACGUACAUGAAACAAGGCACUCUCACUCAC